AUACGGAGGGUGCAAGCGUUACUCGGAAUCACUGGGCGUAAAGCGCGCGCAGGCGGCUUGGUAAGUUGGAUGUGAAAGCCUACGGCUCAACCGUAGAACUGCAUCCAAAACUGUCAAGCUAGAGUGUGGGAGAGGAAGAUGGAAUUAGUUGUGUAGGGGUAAAAUCCGUAGAGAUAACUAGGAGUACCAAAAGCGAAGGCAAUCUUCUGGAACACUACUGACGCUGAGGCGCGAAAGCGUGGGGAGCGAACAGGAUUAGAAACCCUAGUAGUCC
Molecule: ribosomal RNA, 274 nt
Filed under: uncultured bacterium
Lineage: Bacteria
Description: partial 16S ribosomal RNA
Rfam family: Bacterial small subunit ribosomal RNA
Source: RNAcentral